Molecule: ribosomal RNA, 253 nt
Filed under: uncultured bacterium
Lineage: Bacteria
Description: partial 16S ribosomal RNA
Rfam family: Bacterial small subunit ribosomal RNA
Source: RNAcentral
UACAGAGGUCCCGAGCGUUGUUCGGAUUCACUGGGCGUAAAGGGUGCGUAGGUGGCAUGGUAAGUUUGAUGUGAAAGCUCAGGGCUUAACCCUGAAAUGGCAUUGAAUACUACUGUGCUGGAGGUUUGGAGGGGGGACUGGAAUUCUUGGUGUAGCAGUGAAAUGCGUAGAUAUCGAGAGGAACACCAGUGGCGAAGGCGAGUCCCUGGACAACUCCUGACGCUGAGGCACGAAAGCGAGGGGAGCAAACAGG